GACGAACGCUGGCGGCGUGCCUAAUACAUGCAAGUCGAACGAGAGCGACCGGUGCUUGCACUGGUCAAUCUAGUGGCGAACGGGUGAGUAACACGUGGGUAACCUGCCCAUCAGAGGGGGAUAACAUUCGGAAACGGAUGCUAAAACCGCAUAGGUCUUCGAACCGCAUGGUUUGAAGAGGAAAAGAGGCGCAAGCUUCUGCUGAUGGAUGGACCCGCGGUGCAUUAGCUAGUUGGUGAGGUAACGGCUCACCAAGGCCGUGAUGCAUAGCCGACCUGAGAGGGUGAUCGGCCACAUUGGGACUGAGACACGGCCCAAACUCCUACGGGAGGCAGCAGUAGGGAAUCUUCCGCAAUGGACGCAAGUCUGACGGAGCAACGCCGCGUGAGUGAAGAAGGUUUUCGGAUCGUAAAACUCUGUUGUUAGAGAAGAACAAGUGCUAGAGUAACUGUUAGCGACUUGACGGUAUCUAACCAGAAAGCCACGGCUAACUACGUG
This 498-nucleotide ribosomal RNA is filed under the name uncultured bacterium. RNAcentral describes it as "partial 16S ribosomal RNA". It matches the Rfam family "Bacterial small subunit ribosomal RNA", at positions 28 to 507 of the family's 1533-position model. The record is from RNAcentral.